ACUCCUACGGGAGGCAGCAGUGGGGAAUAUUGCACAAUGGGGGAAACCCUGAUGCAGCCAUGCCGCGUGUGUGAAGAAGGCCUUCGGGUUGUAAAGCACUUUCAGUAGGGAGGAAGGUAGUGUAGUUAACACCUGCAUUAUUUGACGUUACCUACAGAAGAAGCACCGGCUAACUCCGUGCCAGCAGCCGCGGUAAUACGGAGGGUGCGAGCGUUAAUCGGAAUUACUGGGCGUAAAGCGCAUGCAGGCGGCCUGUUAAGUCAGAUGUGAAAGCCCGGGGCUUAACCUCGGAAUUGCAUUUGAAACUGGCAGGCUAGAGUCUUGUAGAGGGGGGUAGAAUUUCAGGUGUAGCGGUGAAAUGCGUAGAGAUACUGAAGGAAUACCAGUGGCGAAGGCGGCCCCCU
This 404-nucleotide ribosomal RNA is filed under the name uncultured bacterium. Its description in RNAcentral is "bacterial SSU rRNA". It matches the Rfam family "Bacterial small subunit ribosomal RNA", at positions 335 to 730 of the family's 1533-position model. The record is from RNAcentral.